AACGGCCCAGACUCCUACGGGAGGCAGCAGUGGGGAAUUUUGGACAAUGGGCGCAAGCCUGAUCCAGCAAUGCCGCGUGAGUGAAGAAGGCCUUCGGGUUGUAAAGCUCUUUUGUCAGGGAAGAAACGGUGGAGGUUAAUACCUUCUGCUAAUGACGGUACCUGAAGAAUAAGCACCGGCUAACUACGUGCCAGCAGCCGCGGUAAUACGUAGGGUGCAAGCGUUAAUCGGAAUUACUGGGCGUAAAGCGUGCGCAGGCGGUUGUGCAAGACAGAUGUGAAAUCCCCGGGCUCAACCUGGGAAUUGCAUUUGUGACUGUACGGCUAGAGUGUGUCAGAGGGGGGUAGAAUUCCACGUGUAGCAGUGAAAUGCGUAGAGAUGUGGAGGAAUACCGAUGGCGAAGGCAGCCCCCUGGGAUAACACUGACGCUCAUGCACGAAAGCGUGGGGAGCAAACAGGAUUAGAUACCCUGGUAGUCCACGCCCUAAACGAUGUCUACUAGUUGUCGGGUCUUUAUUGACUUGGUAACGCAGCUAACGCGUGAAGUAGACCGCCUGGGGAGUACGGUCGCAAGAUUAAAACUCAAAGGAAUUGACGNAA
Molecule: ribosomal RNA, 600 nt
Filed under: bacterium enrichment culture clone TF61x_D93_T3_E12
Lineage: Bacteria
Description: bacterial SSU rRNA
Rfam family: Bacterial small subunit ribosomal RNA
Source: RNAcentral